AAAAAUAUAUAAAACAGUGUAUCCCAGAACUUAGCGUAGAAUCGCAUCUGCAACGCUCUGGAAUACAUGCAGAGACACAGUCCGGCGGCCAUAUUGACCUAGUUUGUUUUGACGAGUAAACAAACCAGCACGUGGCUUUUGACACGAUCUUACCUUGAAGAUGGCAACAGAUUAGCAGCCAAAAUAUCGUGUCAAGAAAUACCUAUAGCUGAUUAAUUUCUGGUUAAAAUUAUGGAGAGACCUGAGAAAGGUGAAUGUGGUGGCAAAAGCCGUGAAUAAUUUAAACCUGGAUCUUCUUGUUAGAAAGGCAGAAAGUCACUUUGAGGAUGAGGAAAUCCUAAUCAUGAACAAAGGUUGUUUUUCUCUCUCAAGGAUUUGUUCAGAUAUUGAAUAUGGCCUUGUAGUAACUUCGUCACCAAACAGCACUAAGAAAAGAAAGUUAACAGCCUGGACUUGAGAACUACACGUGUACAACACGAGCAUCGUUCGUGAACAUUGACUGUAAAAAGGACGUACCCAUAAGUCAAACGAACUAGCUGAAAUCCAAUAUUCAGCAAUAAAGCACACACCACCUUGUCAUCUUCGCUUUUCGCGGAUUGCAGUUUUUUGCUUAUCCACACAGAGUUUUUUGGAGCUUUCUGUUACGUACGACACACUGUGUCCUCUUUUUUUUAUAUACAUGUAUUACUGUAAAUUAUUAAUAAUAUGUAAGAGGGUCGACUAGCCUCCAUGUAAAGAAAGACAAAAUGACUGAUCAGUGGUUGCCAGAAUUACAUAAUUUGAGUUUGCAAUCAAUAUUACUGAUAUGACCUCGGGACUCGGCUAAAGUCAUGGUACUUUUCCGCUCUUCCCAUUCGCCCUCUGUUUACAAACAAGGUCACUAAUACUUAACGUACAAGAAUAUAAAUAGCUUUUGGCUUAAUUUUUAAAUACAUGAUUUACCAGUAAUAUACCACGCACUGAGUAACAACUAUAAGUAUGAAACUAAUGUUGCGGAUGGCAUUAUUCAACUGUAAGUGUGAAGACAACUCAGUAUAAUAAUUAGGCACAAAACUUUUUAAAAUAUUUGUUCCUGGCAAGUAAUUGAAGUAUACAUACGAUAAAAAUCUAAUCAUAAAUGUAAUGUUUGCGUUGAAAAUUAUGCAUAACAACUCCGUUCAGAACAGUGGUUUGUUUUGAAAGUACGAGACUAGCAGUUUAUAAGAAAACACACAUUCAUGGUGCUAAAAAGUACUUCUGUUUUUAGAUUUAAGUUUACAGAAAAAAACAAGACUUUGACUGCACCCCGAAACAAUUACACCAUAGAGUUUUAACACUGUAAACUGAAGUUACAUGCCCUUCUAUUUGAAUAUAUGUAUUCACAGACUAAACUUUAUCAGUCCAUGUUGAUGAAACUAUAUUCAUUUAGGAUUAUAAUACAACUUCAUGCAUAUAUAGAUAGAUAGACAGAUACGUCCUUAAUAUAACUUAUAUUACUCUGGUCUGUUUCAUUUUUUAUAU
This is a long non-coding RNA of Limulus polyphemus (Atlantic horseshoe crab), 1500 nucleotides long. RefSeq lists it as uncharacterized. The transcript is spliced from 6 exons. NCBI's taxonomy places the organism in Eukaryota, Metazoa, Arthropoda, Merostomata, Xiphosura, Limulidae. The record is from RefSeq and is a predicted model, not a curated record.